RNAcentral lists this ribosomal RNA (254 nucleotides) under uncultured bacterium. RNAcentral describes it as "partial 16S ribosomal RNA". It matches the Rfam family "Bacterial small subunit ribosomal RNA", at positions 524 to 776 of the family's 1533-position model. The record is from RNAcentral.
UACGUAGGGGCCAAGCGUUGUCCGGAUUUAUUGGGCGUAAAGAGCUCGUAGGCGGUUCGGCAAGUCAGCUGUGAAAUCUCCACGCUCAACGUGGAGGGGUCAGCUGAUACUGCUGUGACUCGAGUCCGGUAGGGGAGUGUGGAAUUCCCGGUGUAGCGGUGAAAUGCGCAGAUAUCGGGAGGAACAUCAGUGGCGAAAGCGGCUUCCUGGACCAGCACCGACGUUCAGGCACGAAAGCGUGGGGAGCAAACAGG